CCGUGAACACGUUCCCGGGCCUUGUACACACCGCCCGUCACACCAUGAGAGUUGGAAAUACCCGAAGCCUGUGAGCUAACUUAAAGAGGCAGCAGUCGAAGGUAGAGCCAAUGAUUGGGGUGAAGUCGUAACAAGGUACC
Molecule: ribosomal RNA, 140 nt
Filed under: uncultured bacterium
Lineage: Bacteria
Description: partial 16S ribosomal RNA
Rfam family: Bacterial small subunit ribosomal RNA
Source: RNAcentral